GUUUAGUUUCCCAGUCUCCUCGGGUAAACUCUUUCAUUUACCAAGGCUGUUUUCUUGAGGAAGUGAGCAAGCAAAAGAGUGACUUCUGUAGGGGGCAAGUCAAACUCUUAUUUUUCAAGCUAGGUUCCUGACCAGUAAAGGACGGAUGUUAAAGUUAUUUUAUUCCUAGAAGAAUAAGGAAUAUUACAGUAUCUAAGAAAAAGAAGAAAGAUAAGAAGUGGAAAGUUUUUGCCUAUACAAGUAACUUCGUACAAAGGAAAUGGAAUUAUAAUAUCGAAAAUGGGUAUUUAACCUUUGGUUCGUAUAUAGGCAUUGGUUAGCCUUUCUUCUCAUGAGCCUUGAUUGUAGUGAACGGCUUAUACAGAUGGAUGUGGUGGGACUUGCUUCGUUCGUUCCUCGCUUUCUAUCUCAUAGAAGUUCCAUUCCGAAGAUG
This 433-nucleotide unclassified non-coding RNA is filed under the name Hevea brasiliensis (rubber tree). The record is from RNAcentral. Lineage: Eukaryota; Viridiplantae; Streptophyta; Magnoliopsida; Malpighiales; Euphorbiaceae.